This 75-nucleotide transfer RNA is filed under the name Fimbriimonas ginsengisoli. RNAcentral describes it as "tRNA-Thr". It matches the Rfam family "tRNA". From Rfam's summary of the family: Transfer RNA (tRNA) molecules are approximately 80 nucleotides in length. Their secondary structure includes four short double-helical elements and three loops (D, anti-codon, and T loops). Further hydrogen bonds mediate the characteristic L-shaped molecular structure. tRNAs have two regions of fundamental functional importance: the anti-codon, which is responsible for specific mRNA codon recognition, and the 3' end, to which the tRNAs corresponding amino acid is attached (by aminoacyl-tRNA synthetases). tRNAs cope with the degeneracy of the genetic code in two manners: having more than one tRNA (with a specific anti-codon) for a particular amino acid; and 'wobble' base-pairing, i.e. permitting non-standard base-pairing at the 3rd anti-codon position. The record is from RNAcentral. Lineage: Bacteria; Bacillati; Armatimonadota; Fimbriimonadia; Fimbriimonadales; Fimbriimonadaceae.
GCCGCUGUAGCUCAGUGGUAGAGCAAUCGCCUCGUAAGCGAUAGGUCACGAGUUCGAGUCUCGUCAGCGGCUCCA